GCGAACGGGUGAGUAAUAUAUCGGAACGUACCCUGGAGUGGGGGAUAACGCAGCGAAAGCUGUGCUAAUACCGCAUACGAUCUAAGGAUGAAAGCGGGGGAUCGCAAGACCUCGCGCGAUUGGAGCGGCUGAUAUCAGAUUAGGUUGUUGGUGAGGUAAAAGCUCACCAAGCCGACGAUCUGUAGCUGGUUUGAGAGAACGACCAGCCACACUGGGACUGAGACACGGCCCAGACUCC
Molecule: ribosomal RNA, 238 nt
Filed under: uncultured bacterium
Lineage: Bacteria
Description: partial 16S ribosomal RNA
Rfam family: Bacterial small subunit ribosomal RNA
Source: RNAcentral